This is a long non-coding RNA of Homo sapiens (human), 658 nucleotides long. Ensembl annotates it as SGSM3 antisense RNA 1. Its record names the gene SGSM3-AS1. NCBI's taxonomy places the organism in Eukaryota, Metazoa, Chordata, Mammalia, Primates, Hominidae. The record is from Ensembl.
GAGGUGAACAUCCAUAGUAUCAUACAAAUUUCUCAGCUGCCUCCUCCAAAACUGGCAUCAGCAGAAGAGCAAAGGACUCUGGUCCUUAUGAAGAGGUGAUCUCAGACUUCUAGUCUUGAAAUGCUGUGAUCCAAAGAGAAGAGGAAAAGAGAAAGGCACCAGCGAGUAAGGGAAGCAACAGAGAAAAGGUGAGAGAAAUGAGGCAUGACAGAUAACUUGUAAGUUCUCGAAGUUUACAAUGGUAAAGCCAGGCCGGGUGCAGUGGCAUGCACCUGUAAUCACAGCAACUCAUGAGAUUAAAGCAGGAGGACCUCUUGAGCCCAGGAGUUUGAGGUUUCAGUGAGCUAUGAUCAUGCCACUGCACUCCAACCUGGGCAACAGAGCAAAACCCUGUCAAUCAAUCAAGCAAGCAGACAAGCAAGGAAGCAAGCAGCAGAGCCUCUGCAUGAGCUCAUGAAUGGCUGCUGUGGAAAAUUACUGACGUCACCAGCUGAAUAACAGGCUAUCUGGAGAGUAAGCAGAUGAAACUGAUGUUAAAUUAUCAAAUGUACAAGAUUUUGGGCUCCUGCCAAAACCUUCAUUGAGAACUAAGAAGAGAAAAACUGAAAACACACAGAGCUUUUUUUAAGCUUCUGAGCCAGCAGGCUGUUCCUACAUC